CUUCCUGAAGGCCUGGCUCCACAGAAGCCAUGAUAAGUUUCCAGGGCCCCACAUCUCCGAAGAGCAAGAGCUUUCCUCAUUCCACAUGCCUCACCUACAAGUGGAAUCAGCUGUGUGAGGGGACAGCACGGUCAAGGCUGACGAAUGUUUUUGGUGUCCCACACCCUGUACUAUGUAGUCUGACUUAAAACAGAGGGAUGAAGCCUUGUUUUUCACAAGUUCUCACAGAGCCUGAGCUCACAGCUCUGGGGUGAAAAGCCUGUCACUCUGGGCUUAGGCAGCCAGAGCCUGACUCCUGGCUCUGCCAGCAGUAGUCUUGGAUUUAGGGAAAGUUACUUACCUUCUCUGCCUCUUAUUUCCUUCUCUAUUUGUAAAGGUCAGAUGAUAAUACCCACCUUAUAAGGAUAAAAAGAUGAAAGAUGCAUAAAGCCUAGUGUAAGAGCACAUACGUAAGACAUACUUGGAUUCUGAGUCCUGACUUUGUCAUUCAUGAUGGACUUAAGCCUCGCUGAGCCUCAAUCACCGAAUCUGUAAAAUGGGAUUCUUGUGAGGAUGCCAUAAGCUAAUGCUCUUAGUGCUGUGACUGGCAUGGAAGAUGGGCAAAAAUGUUAAUUUAUUUUCUGCUGAAGAGUGAGAUUGCAAUUAAAACAUAAUCUUGGAGUUUCAAGGAAAUUGCCAGAACAUUCUAUCCCACAGCCUGGCUUGGAUCAUCCAAUAUACUGUAAGAGGGAUCAAAGAUUUCUAGUUUCUAGUUUUGGUUUAACACUUUUAUUCUAGGUCACAUCUUCAGCAGGCAAAUGGAAAUGAACCACCCCAUUUUCCUAAUAAACAAUGCUGAUAACAGGAAAGCUGGUGUGAGCUGCAGGCACCAAGCGAGUGCAGGACGCUGGUGACUGUGGAGCCUGCCUAUGAGUCAGAUUGGAGGAAAUACAUGCAGGAAGGGGCCAUGGUUACAAACACAGGCUCAGAGUCGGCCCAGCCGGCCUCAAUUAAAAUCCCAUCUGAUCACUGAGUAACCCUGGGAAAGUGAUUUAAUCUUUUAGACCUUAGUUUUCUACUUUGUAAACUGUGAAAAAUAAUAGUACCUGUCCACAGGGGCCUGUUGAGAGAAGCAGAUGAGAUAAUCUAUGACCCAUACACAGGGCUAUGUUCAGCACGUGGUGAGCUCUCAAUUAAUUUUAGUAAACCAUUAUUAUUAUUCAUCCAAAUAUCUUCUACGGGAUUCUUGCUCUGGAAAGAAAGUCCAGACUUCAUGGAGAAGCCCCACCCUACACCUAACUCCUUCCCACACCCUACCUAACCUGAGAGCUCUCCACACCUUAGCCCCCAUCCCCCAUGCUGACAACUCACCCAUGCAGUGUGGGCCCGCCCUUCCUCACAUGGUUGGUGUGAAAGUCAAGUGAGAUAAUUUAAUGACAGCACUUUGUACACUAUUAAAGACUGUGAAAAAGAUGUCAUUUGCACAGUAUUUCUUGGCCUUGGCCAUUUCUUUUCCUAUCGUUUAGUGAAAUCAACCAAAUAUUUGUUUAUAAUUUUAUGCUGCUUUCUUGUUCAAAAACUUUCAAUGACUUCCUUUAGUCUAUUAAGCAGUCUCAGGCCAGGCACGAUGGCUUAUGCCUGUAAUCCCAGCACUUUGGGAGGCAGAGGUGGGUGGAUCACCUGAGGUCAGGAGUUUGAGACCAACCUGGCCAACAUGGUGAAACCCCAUCUCUACCAUGGUGGCAGGUGCCUGUAAUCCCAGCUACUUGGGAGGCUGAGGCAGGAGAAUCAGUUGAACCUGGGAGGCAGAGGUUACAGUGAGCCGAGAUCACGCCAUUGCACUAUGGCCUGGGUGACAAGAGUAAAACUUGGUCUCAAAAAAAAAAAAAAAAAAAAAA
This is a long non-coding RNA of Macaca fascicularis (crab-eating macaque), 1877 nucleotides long. The record is from Ensembl. Lineage: Eukaryota; Metazoa; Chordata; Mammalia; Primates; Cercopithecidae.